This 449-nucleotide ribosomal RNA is filed under the name Porphyromonas sp. oral taxon 279. Its description in RNAcentral is "bacterial SSU rRNA". It matches the Rfam family "Bacterial small subunit ribosomal RNA", at positions 28 to 466 of the family's 1533-position model. Lineage: Bacteria; Pseudomonadati; Bacteroidota; Bacteroidia; Bacteroidales; Porphyromonadaceae. The record is from RNAcentral.
GAUGAACGCUGGCGGCGUGCCUAAUACAUGCAAGUCGAGGGGCAGCAUGGUCUUAGCUUGCUAAGACUGAUGGCGACCGGCGCACGGGUGCGUAACGCGUAUGCAACUUGCCUCACAGAGGGGGAUAACCCGUCGAAAGACGGACUAAUACCGCGUACACUCUAUGUUGGGCAUCCAAUGUAGAGGAAAUGAAAUUCGCUGUGAGAUAGGCAUGCGUCCCAUUAGCUAGUUGGUGAGGUAACGGCUCACCAAGGCGACGAUGGGUAGGGGAACUGAGAGGUUGAACCCCCACACUGGUACUGAGACACGGACCAGACUCCUACGGGAGGCAGCAGUGAGGAAUAUUGGUCAAUGGGCGAGAGCCUGAACCAGCCAAGUCGCGUGAAGGAUGACUGUCUUAUGGAUUGUAAACUUCUUUUAUACGGGAAUAACAAGAGUCACGUGUGGCU